AGUGAACGCUGGCGGUAGGCCUAACACAUGCAAGUCGAACGGCAGCACAGAGGAGCUUGCUCCUUGGGUGGCGAGUGGCGGACGGGUGAGGAAUACAUCGGAAUCUACUCUGUCGUGGGGGAUAACGUAGGGAAACUUACGCUAAUACCGCAUACGACCUACGGGUGAAAGCAGGGGACCUUCGGGCCUUGCGCGAUUGAAUGAACCGAUGUCGGAUUAGCUAGUUGGCGGGGUAAAGGCCCACCACGGCGACGAUCCGUAGCUGGUCUGAGAGGAUGAUCAGCCACACUUGAACUGGGACACGGUCCAGACUCCUACGGGAGGCAGCAGUGGGGAAUCUUGGACAAUGGGCGCAAGCCUGAUCCAGCCAUACCGCGUGGGUGAAGAAGGCCUUCGGGUUGUAAAGCCCUUUUGUUGGGAAUGAAAUCCAGCUGGCUAAUACCCGGUUGGGAUGACGGUACCCAAAGAAUAAGCACCGGCUAACUUCGUGCCAGCCGCCGCAGUAA
This 506-nucleotide ribosomal RNA is filed under the name uncultured bacterium. RNAcentral describes it as "partial 16S ribosomal RNA". It matches the Rfam family "Bacterial small subunit ribosomal RNA", at positions 29 to 523 of the family's 1533-position model. The record is from RNAcentral.